CAAGCAAGAAGACCCGC
RNAcentral lists this ribosomal RNA (17 nucleotides) under Phaeodactylum tricornutum. RNAcentral's name for it is "partial 28S ribosomal RNA". The record is from RNAcentral. Lineage: Eukaryota; Bacillariophyta; Bacillariophyceae; Surirellales; Neidiaceae.